Molecule: non-coding RNA, 291 nt
Organism: Cinara cedri
Lineage: Eukaryota; Metazoa; Arthropoda; Insecta; Hemiptera; Aphididae
Source: the annotation of a GenBank genome assembly
CCGCAGGAUUUCUCGACGGACGACAUUCGGGCAAGAGGAUGUUUCGGGGCGAACGGGUAUGUUCUACUGUAUAAGUAAAAUUGUUUAACGGCAAUUGAUAUGCGGGCGAAAUAUUGUCAACGAAACCUAACCAACGGACAGGAUCGCCGAUAAAUCGCUCCGUCGUACGAAAAUAACGCAUCGGUUUUGUCGCGACGUCGGCACGGAAAGUUGUCGGCCACACGGUUUUACCGUCUGCGAACCAGCGUGUCACUGUCCUGUCUCCGUCCAGUACGACACACCCAAUCAGCG